Molecule: unclassified non-coding RNA, 287 nt
Filed under: Hevea brasiliensis (rubber tree)
Lineage: Eukaryota; Viridiplantae; Streptophyta; Magnoliopsida; Malpighiales; Euphorbiaceae
Source: RNAcentral
UUUUUUUUGGACUCUUGUCCUCCAAUAACUGCUCCUCCGCCUCCUCUGUUUUCACUUUGGAGCGUGUUCAUGUAAGGUACAGUAGAAGAGGUGUGGUUCGCUGAGUGAAUGGUGGGUCCGGACCCAAGACUGAUGGGCUGGGACCUAAACUGUUGAAGAAGAGGUAUACCGUAACGCCGAGACAAGGAUGGUAAUUCUGGAGAAAUGUUAGCCGAGAAUUCGAUGGGGGAGAGGGUAGAGAUUGGGGAUGUAUGUUGGUACAUCCUGGGCUUCACGGACCGAAGGAG